AAAAAGACAAACCCUGGUUUUCGUGUCCAACAUUUGACCGUCCGUCUUAUUUGAAAAAGUUAUGAACAAAAUUAAAAAGAUAAGUCACGCAUAAAGUAUUAAUCAUGUUUUAUCAUCUAACAACAAUGAAAAUACUAAUUAUAAAAAAAUUUCAUAUAAGACAGACAGUCAAACGUUGGCACGGAAACCCACGGUUUGCCUUUUU
RNAcentral lists this microRNA precursor (205 nucleotides) under Oryza rufipogon (brownbeard rice). RNAcentral describes it as "MIR812 microRNA precursor family". It matches the Rfam family "MIR812 microRNA precursor family". The record is from Rfam by way of RNAcentral. Lineage: Eukaryota; Viridiplantae; Streptophyta; Magnoliopsida; Poales; Poaceae.